UACGAAGGGAGCUAGCGUUGUUCGGAAUCACUGGGCGUAAAGCGCACGUAUGCGGCUGUGUCAGUCAGGGGUGAAAUCCCGGAGCUCAACUUCGGAACUGCCUUUGAUACAGCACGUCUUGAGUCCGAUAGAGGUGGGUGGAAUUCCUAGUGUAGAGGUGAAAUUCGUAGAUAUUAGGAAGAACACCGGUGGCGAAGGCGGCCCACUGGAGCGGUACUGACGCUGAGGUGCGAAAGCGUGGGGAGCAAACAGG
This 253-nucleotide ribosomal RNA is filed under the name uncultured bacterium. RNAcentral describes it as "partial 16S ribosomal RNA". It matches the Rfam family "Bacterial small subunit ribosomal RNA", at positions 524 to 776 of the family's 1533-position model. The record is from RNAcentral.